RNAcentral lists this ribosomal RNA (253 nucleotides) under uncultured bacterium. RNAcentral's name for it is "partial 16S ribosomal RNA". It matches the Rfam family "Bacterial small subunit ribosomal RNA", at positions 524 to 776 of the family's 1533-position model. The record is from RNAcentral.
UACGUAGGGUGCAAGCGUUAUCCGGAAUUACUGGGCGUAAAGCGCGCGCAGGCGGUUCUUCAAGUCAGAGGUGCAAGCCCAGAGCUCAACUCUGGAAUGGCCUUUGAGACUAGAGAACUUGGGUACGGGAGAGGUGAGUGGAAUUCCGAGUGUAGAGGUGAAAUGCGUAGAUAUUCGGAAGAACACCAGUGGCGAAGGCGGCUCACUGGCCCGUUACCGACGCUCAGGCGCGACAGCGUGGGGAGCAAACAGG